AGAGUUUGAUUAUGGCUCAGAACGUACGCUGGCGGCACGCCUAACACAUGCAAGUCGAGCGGGGUAGCAAUACCUAGCGGCAGACGGGUGCGUAACAUGUGGGAAUCUGCCUUUUGGUUCGGAACAACACGGGGAAACCUGUGCUAAUACCGGAUAAGUCCUUACGGAGAAAGUUUUAAUGCCAAAAGAUGAGCCCGCAUUUGAUUAGCUAGUUGGUGAGGUAAGAGCUCACCAAGGCGAUAAUCAAUAGCUGAUUUGAGAGGAUGAUCAGCCACACUGGGACUGAGAUACGGCCCAGACUCCUACGGGAGGCAGCAGUGGGGAAUCUUGCACAAUGGGCGAAAGCCUGAUGCAGCGAUGCCGCGUGAGUGAAGAAGGCCUUUGGGUUGUAAAGCUCUUUUGUCGGGAAAGAUAAUGACUGUACCCGAAGAAUAAGGUCCGGCUAACUUCGUGCCAGCAGCCGUGGUAAUACGAAGGGACCUAGCGUAGUUCGGAAUUACUGGGCGUAAAGAGUAUGUAGGCGGCUAGAUAAGUUAAUUGUGAAAGCCCAAAGCUUAACUUUGGAAUUGCAAUUAAAACUAUUUAGCUAGAGUAUGAUAGAGGAAAGCGGAAUACAUAGUGUAGAGGUGAAAUUCGUAGAUAUUAUGUAGAACACCAGUUGCGAAGGCGGCUUUCUGGAUCAUCACUGACGCUGAGAUACGAAAGUAUGGGUAGCGAAGAGGAUUAGAUACCCUCGUAGUCCAUACCAUAAACGAUGAUUAUUAGAUGUGGGGGAAUUAUUUCUCUGUAUCAUAGCUAA
RNAcentral lists this ribosomal RNA (799 nucleotides) under uncultured Alphaproteobacteria bacterium. RNAcentral's name for it is "bacterial SSU rRNA". It matches the Rfam family "Bacterial small subunit ribosomal RNA", at positions 8 to 855 of the family's 1533-position model. The record is from RNAcentral. Lineage: Bacteria; Pseudomonadati; Pseudomonadota; Alphaproteobacteria.